RNAcentral lists this ribosomal RNA (401 nucleotides) under uncultured bacterium. Its description in RNAcentral is "bacterial SSU rRNA". It matches the Rfam family "Bacterial small subunit ribosomal RNA", at positions 30 to 431 of the family's 1533-position model. The record is from RNAcentral.
AUUGAACGCUGGCGGCAUGCCUUACACAUGCAAGUCGAACGGCAGCACGGACUUCGGUCUGGUGGCGAGUGGCGAACGGGUGAGUAAUGUAUCGGAACGUACCUUUCAGUGGGGGAUAACGUAGCGAAAGUUACGCUAAUACCGCAUAUUCUGUGAGCAGGAAAGCAGGGGAUCGCAAGACCUUGCGCUGAUUGAGCGGCCGAUAUCAGAUUAGCUAGUUGGUGGGGUAAAGGCCUACCAAGGCUACGAUCUGUAGCGGGUCUGAGAGGAUGAUCCGCCACACUGGAACUGAGACACGGUCCAGACUCCUACGGGAGGCAGCAGUGGGGAAUUUUGGACAAUGGGCGCAAGCCUGAUCCAGCCAUGCCGCGUGCGGGAAGAAGGCCUUCGGGUUGUAAACC